ACAUACGACCAUACCCAUUGGAAAACUCGGGAUCCCGUCCGCUCUCCCAUAGAUAAGCCGAUGAGGGCUGGAGUAGUAGUCGGGUCGGUGACGACCGGCGAAUGCCCGGUGUUGUAUGUU
RNAcentral lists this ribosomal RNA (120 nucleotides) under Colletotrichum gloeosporioides Cg-14. The record is from RNAcentral. Lineage: Eukaryota; Fungi; Ascomycota; Sordariomycetes; Glomerellales; Glomerellaceae.